Molecule: long non-coding RNA, 116 nt
Organism: Octopus sinensis (East Asian common octopus)
Lineage: Eukaryota; Metazoa; Mollusca; Cephalopoda; Octopoda; Octopodidae
Exons: 3
Source: RefSeq, a predicted model, not a curated record
CAAAUUAGUUAACAAACUCUCCUGACUGGAUAUGUAAAACUGCCAAACCUUUUAAGUUUUAAAAAAUCAAUAACUAAUAAUAAUUAAUUAUCUCCAUAAUUACCUAACAACCCAAA